AGCAUAUCAAUAAGCGGAGGAAAAGAAACCAACAGGGAUUGCCUUAGUAACGGCGAGUGAAGCGGCAACAGCUCAGAUUUGAAAUCUGCCUAACGGCCGAAUUGUAAUCUGUAGAGGAAACUUUGGGCGCGGAAACCACAGAGUUCCCUGGAAUGGGGCACCAUGGAGGGUGAGAGUCCCGUUUGUGGCCAUCUAAGCCUAUGUAUAAGUUCCUUCAACGAGUCGAGUAGUUUGGGAAUGCUGCUCAAAAUGGGAGGUAAAUCUCUUCUAAAGCUAAAUAUUGGCCAGAGACCGAUAGCGCACAAGUAGAGUGAUCGAAAGAUGAAAAGCAUUCCGGAAGGAAGGUUAAAAAGUACGUGAAAUUGCUGAAAGGGAAGCGCUUAUGACCAGACAUGGGCUUGGAGUUCACCUAGUGUUCUCACUGGGGCAUUUCUCCAGCUCAGGCUAGCAUCGGUUUUCUUAGAGGGAUAAAAACAGGAGGAAUGUAGCUCUUUCGGGAGUGUUAUAGCCUCUUGCAAUAUCUUUGAGGAGACCGAGGUUCGCGAUUCAUGGAUGCUGGCAUAA
RNAcentral lists this ribosomal RNA (564 nucleotides) under uncultured fungus. RNAcentral describes it as "eukaryotic LSU rRNA". It matches the Rfam family "Eukaryotic large subunit ribosomal RNA", at positions 37 to 634 of the family's 3401-position model. The record is from RNAcentral. Lineage: Eukaryota; Fungi.